AUCUAUCAGUCUAUAUAUCACUUCUUUUUAACAAUUUUUCUUUACCCUCAAAGUGUGAUUCUUUGAUACUACUACACUAGUAUUCCACGAACACACACGACAGACAAAUUGAUUGUUUGUAAUUUUGUCAUCGUAUAGUGUGGUUUGUGGAUUCAGGACAGGAUUUGGUUCAUGAGUUGGAGGGUGUGGUUGUAGAUGUUGUAAACUUCUGUAAAACAAUAACCCACUGUUUGUUUGUAUAAGCUAUAUUGGUUUUGGAGCAUAUAUAUUGUAGUUUACUGAUAUUAUCUCCUUUCUUU
This 299-nucleotide long non-coding RNA is filed under the name Brassica napus (rape). Its description in RNAcentral is "long non-coding RNA (BNAP_LNC025475)". Lineage: Eukaryota; Viridiplantae; Streptophyta; Magnoliopsida; Brassicales; Brassicaceae. The record is from RNAcentral.